Molecule: ribosomal RNA, 469 nt
Filed under: uncultured Candidatus Brocadia sp.
Lineage: Bacteria; Pseudomonadati; Planctomycetota; Candidatus Brocadiia; Candidatus Brocadiales; Candidatus Brocadiaceae
Description: bacterial SSU rRNA
Rfam family: Bacterial small subunit ribosomal RNA
Source: RNAcentral
UUCGCAAUGCCCGCAAGGGUGACGAAGCGACGCCGCGUGCGGGAAGAAGGCCUUCGGGUUGUAAACCGCUGUCGGGAGUUAGGAAGUGCAAGGAUGUUAAUAGCGUUCUUGCUUGACUAAGGCUCCGGAGGAAGCCACGGCUAACUCUGUGCCAGCAGCCGCGGUAAUACAGAGGCGGCAAGCGUUGUUCGGAAUUAUUGGGCGUAAAGAGCACGUAGGCGGCUGUGUAAGUCGGUUGUGAAAGCCUUCCGCUUAACGGAAGAACGGCAUCCGAUACUGCAUAGCUUGAGUGCGGGAGGGGAGAGUGGAACUUCUGGUGGAGCGGUGAAAUGCGUAGAUAUCAGAAGGAACACCGGCGGCGAAGGCGACUCUCUGGUCCGUAACUGACGCUGAGUGUGCGAAAGCUAGGGGAGCAAACGGGAUUAGAUACCCCGGUAGUCCUAGCCGUAAACGAUGGGCACUAAGUAGA